RNAcentral lists this ribosomal RNA (508 nucleotides) under Oligella urethralis. Its description in RNAcentral is "bacterial SSU rRNA". It matches the Rfam family "Bacterial small subunit ribosomal RNA", at positions 35 to 532 of the family's 1533-position model. Lineage: Bacteria; Pseudomonadati; Pseudomonadota; Betaproteobacteria; Burkholderiales; Alcaligenaceae. The record is from RNAcentral.
GCUAGCGGGAUGCUUUACACAUGCAAGUCGAACGGCAGCAUGAGAGAGCUUGCUCUCUUGAUGGCGAGUGGCGGACGGGUGAGUAAUGUAUCGGAACGUGCCCGGUAGUGGGGGAUAACUACGCGAAAGCGUAGCUAAUACCGCAUAUUCUCUACGGAGGAAAGAGGGGGAUCGUAAGACCUCUUGCUACCGGAGCGGCCGAUAUCAGAUUAGCUGGUUGGUGGGGUAACGGCCUACCAAGGCGGUGAUCUGUAGCUGGUUUGAGAGGACGACCAGCCACACUGGGACUGAGACACGGCCCAGACUCCUACGGGAGGCAGCAGUGGGGAAUUUUCGACAAUGGGGGGAACCCUGAUCGAGCCAUCUCGCGUGUGGGACGAAGGCCUUCGGGUUGUAAACCACUUUUCUCAACGAAGAAAAGUCUUAGGCUAAUACCUUAAGAUGCUGACGGUAGUUGAGGAAUAAGCACCGGCUAACUACGUGCCAGCAGCCGCGGUAAUACGUAGGG